This 414-nucleotide long non-coding RNA is filed under the name Mytilus galloprovincialis (Mediterranean mussel). Lineage: Eukaryota; Metazoa; Mollusca; Bivalvia; Mytilida; Mytilidae. The record is from RNAcentral.
UGUUAUAAUAUUCCUCAAUGGAAAGCCAGGACAUACGUAUUAGCCACACAAUGUAGAAUACAUUAAUGUCGGAAUGUCUUUAGUCAAGUAUACAAAUCAAUCAAUGCUUAUAAACUCAAGAGUUUCUUUAUGUGUAGUCAAACAGAUUUACCUCAUCUGACAAUUAACGUCCCAAAUUCACCAUUGCAUUAUCUGAGUUGCGUAAUCGUGUUUUGUACAUGUCUGUGUAAGCUGAACCGGUUAGUACUAGUUUUAUAACUAGCCGAGAAGCCAGAACAUCGACGCAGUAGUAUGUAUACAAAACUAUUUUUCUGUAGAUUUUAAAUUCAAUAAGCGUAAACAUCUGGUAUAAAAGCCGGAAAAGUGGAUAUUAAGUUAGAAGUCUUCUUGUCAGCGAUAACCACAUUUGCUAAU